Molecule: ribosomal RNA, 515 nt
Filed under: uncultured archaeon
Lineage: Archaea
Description: bacterial SSU rRNA
Rfam family: Archaeal small subunit ribosomal RNA
Source: RNAcentral
AACCUUUACACUGCACGACAGUGCGAUAGGGGGACUCCGAGUGCGAGGGCAUAUAGUCCUCGCUUUUCUGUACCGUAAGGUGGUACAGGAACAAGUGCUGGGCAAGACCGGUGCCAGCCGCCGCGGUAAUACCGGCAGCACGAGUGAUGGCCGAUAUUAUUGGGCCUAAAGCGUUCGUAGCCGGCCGGACAAGUUCGUUGGGAAAUCCACGCGCUCAACGCGUGGGCGUCCAGCGAAAACUGUCUGGCUUGGGGCCGGAAGACUCGAGGGGUACGUCCGGGGUAGGAGUGAAAUCCCGUAAUCCUGGACGGACCGCCGAUGGCGAAAGCACCUCGAGAGGACGGACCCGACGGUGAGGGACGAAAGCCAGGGUCUCGAACCGGAUUAGAUACCCGGGUAGUCCUGGCCGUAAACGAUGUCCGCUAGGUGUGGCGCAGGCUACGAGCCUGCGCUGUGCCGUAGGGAAGCCGUGAAGCGGACCGCCUGGGAAGUACGUCUGCAAGGAUGAAACUUAA